GACGUUUAGCUGCAGAAGAAGCACCGGCUAACUCCGUGCCAGCAGCCGCGGUAAUACGGAGGGUGCGAGCGUUAAUCGGAAUUACUGGGCGUAAAAGCGCAUGCAGGUGGUUUGUUUAAGUCAGAUGUGAAAGCCCGGGGCUCAACCUCGGAAUUGCAUUUGAAACUGGCAGACUAGAGUACUGUAGAGGGGGUAGAAUUUCAGGUGUAGCGGUGAAAUGCGUAGAGAUCUGAAGGAAUACCGGUGGCGAAGGCGGCCCCCUGGACAGAUACUGACACUCAGAUGCGAAAGCGUGGGGAGCAAACAGGAUUAGAUACCCUGGUAG
This 325-nucleotide ribosomal RNA is filed under the name uncultured bacterium. Its description in RNAcentral is "bacterial SSU rRNA". It matches the Rfam family "Bacterial small subunit ribosomal RNA", at positions 471 to 793 of the family's 1533-position model. The record is from RNAcentral.